Molecule: ribosomal RNA, 481 nt
Filed under: uncultured bacterium
Lineage: Bacteria
Description: partial 16S ribosomal RNA
Rfam family: Bacterial small subunit ribosomal RNA
Source: RNAcentral
GACGAACGCUGGCGGCGUGCCUAACACAUGCAAGUCGAACGUCCAGCCCCAUUUAUAGAGCUGGAAGUGGCGGACGGGUGAGUAACGCGUGAGCAACCUGACCUAAAGAGGGGGAUAACAUCGGGAAACCGAUGCUAAUACCGCAUAAGACCACAACUGCCACGGCAGAAGGGGUCAAAGGAGUAAUCCGCUUUAGGAGGGGCUCGCGUCCCAUUAGAUAGUUGGUGGGGUAAUGGCCUACCAAGUCAACGAUGGGUAGCCGAGCUGAGAGGCUGAUCGGCCACACUGGAACUGAGACACGGUCCAGACUCCUACGGGAGGCAGCAGUGGGGAAUAUUGGGCAAUGGGGGAAACCCUGACCCAGCGACGCCGCGUGAGGGAAGAAGGUUUUCGGAUUGUAAACCUCUGUCCUUGGGGAAGAAACAAAUGACGGUACCCAAGGAGGAAGCCCCGGCUAACUACGUGCCAGCAGCCGCAGUAA